AGGACGAACGCUGGCGGCGUGCCUAACACAUGCAAGUCGAACGGAGUAAGAAUUCGGUUUUACUUAGUGGCGAACGGGUGAGUAACGCGUGAACAACCUGCCUUCCUGAGGGGGAUAACACCUGGAAACAAGUGCUAAUACCGCAUAAGACCACAGAGCCGCAUGGCCCAGGGGUCAAAGGAGUGAUCCGCAGGAAGAGGGGUUCGCGUCCCAUUAGCUAGUUGGCGGGGCAACGGCCCACCAAGGCGACGAUGGGUAGCCGAGCUGAGAGGCUGAUCGGCCACACUGGAACUGAGACACGGUCCGGACUCCUACGGGAGGCAGCAGUGGGGAAUAUUGGGCAAUGGGCGCAAGCCUGAACCCCAGCAACGCCGCGUGAGGGAAGAAGGUCUUCGGAUUGUAAACCUCUGUCCUAUGUGACGAAGGAAGUGACGGUAGCAUAGGAGGAAGCCCCGGCUAACUACGUGCCAGCCGCCGC
This 478-nucleotide ribosomal RNA is filed under the name uncultured bacterium. Its description in RNAcentral is "bacterial SSU rRNA". It matches the Rfam family "Bacterial small subunit ribosomal RNA", at positions 26 to 518 of the family's 1533-position model. The record is from RNAcentral.